UCUCCGUAGGUGAACCUGCGGAGGGAUCAUUACAGAGUUCUCGCCCACACGGGUAGAUCUCCCACCCACUGUUAUCGUUACUGUCGUUUCUUUGGCGGGCCGCCGGGUCCCCGGCCGCCGGCGCCUAGCUGCCGGCGCGCGCCCGCCAGAGGCCUUCAAACUCUGAAUGUUAGUGUCGUCUGAGUACUAUAUAAUAGUUAAAACUUUCAACAACGGAUCUCUUGGUUCUG
Molecule: unclassified non-coding RNA, 230 nt
Filed under: plant metagenome
Description: partial contains small subunit ribosomal RNA, internal transcribed spacer 1, and 5.8S ribosomal RNA
Source: RNAcentral